This is a long non-coding RNA of Haliotis rubra (blacklip abalone), 103 nucleotides long. RefSeq lists it as uncharacterized. The record is from RefSeq and is a predicted model, not a curated record. The transcript is spliced from 3 exons. Lineage: Eukaryota; Metazoa; Mollusca; Gastropoda; Lepetellida; Haliotidae.
AAGCGUGUCAUCAUGACUUUGAAUACCAUUCUCUGUGGUAGCCAACAAACAUCCCCUAAUUCCCUGUCCGGUCCGAGAGAGCCAAUCAUCACAAAGCAUUACC